This 464-nucleotide ribosomal RNA is filed under the name uncultured bacterium. Its description in RNAcentral is "partial 16S ribosomal RNA". It matches the Rfam family "Bacterial small subunit ribosomal RNA", at positions 339 to 795 of the family's 1533-position model. The record is from RNAcentral.
CUACGGGUGGCAGCAGCUAAGAAUCUUCCGCAAUGGGCGCAAGCCUGACGGAGCGACGCCGCGUGGACGAAGAAUGCCGAGAGGUUGUAAAGUCCUUUUAUUUGCGAAGAAUAAUAUCCAUAGGUAAUGAUGGAUAGAUGACGUUAGCUUAUGAAUAAGCUCCGGCCAAUUACGUGCCAGCAGCCGCGGUAACACGUAAGGAGCGAGCGUUGUUCGGAAUUAUUGGGCGUAAAGGGCAUGUAGGCGGUUUUGUAAGUCUGGUGUGAAAGACCACAGCUUAACUGUGGGAACGCACUGGAAACUGUGAGACUAGAAUCAGUGAGGGGUAACCGGAAUUCCUUGUGUAGGGGUGAAAUCUGUUGAUAUAAGGAAGAACACCGAUGGCGAAGGCAGGUUACUGGCGCAUGAUUGACGCUGAUGUGCGAAAGCGUAGGGAGCGAACAGGAUUAGAUACCCGAGUAGUC